CCUACGGGAUGCAGCAGUGGGGAAUAUUGCACAAUGGGGGAAACCCUGAUGCAGCGACGCCGCGUGAGUGAAGAAGUAUUUCGGUAUGUAAAGCUCUAUCAGCCGGGAAGAAGCCAGACGGUACCUGACUAAGAAGCCCCGGCUAACUACGUGCCAGUAGCCGCGGUAAUACGUAGGGGGCAAGCGUUAUCCGGAUUUACUGGGUGUAAAGGGAGCGUAGACGGUAUGGCAAGUCUGAAGUGAAAGCCCAGGUCUUAACCCUGGGACUGCUUUGGAACCUGUUAGACUAGAGUGCUGGAGAGGUAAGUGGAAUGCGUAGUGGAGCGGUGAAAUGCGUAGAUAUUAGGAGGAACACCAGUGGCGAAGGCGGCUUACUGGACAGUAACUGACGUUGAGGCUCGAAAGCGUGGGGAGCAAACAGGAUUAGAUACCCGGGUAGUC
RNAcentral lists this ribosomal RNA (441 nucleotides) under uncultured bacterium. RNAcentral describes it as "partial 16S ribosomal RNA". It matches the Rfam family "Bacterial small subunit ribosomal RNA", at positions 338 to 795 of the family's 1533-position model. The record is from RNAcentral.